Long non-coding RNA from Myodes glareolus (Bank vole), 629 nucleotides. RefSeq lists it as uncharacterized. NCBI's taxonomy places the organism in Eukaryota, Metazoa, Chordata, Mammalia, Rodentia, Cricetidae. The record is from RefSeq and is a predicted model, not a curated record.
CUGGCCUUAUCGGAACAGUCAGUCUGUGUUCCCCAGAGGUGGACUUUAAACACAGCCAUGGAGGCCGGGAGCAGAUCCGAGCGAUUAGAGAGGACAAAGGAGUCCCCAGAAAAAGCACACUGGGACCUGAGAUAAGCCAGUAAAGGAGCUGCUCCAGGACACUCUACCCUGAAGAGUGAAGAGGAGCUUGUGGAAUCACACGGCACAGUGUUCAAGUGUCAGUGAUUGUGAUUUCCCAGGAUCUCCUGGCACAACUUCCAAGCAAGAAAUGGGUUUUUAUAAGCGGACAGAAUUGACAAAGGUAUUCUUCCUGACCACACCUAACGAAGUUCCUCUGAGCUCCCUCCUCAGCUGGGCCCGGUUUCAGAGCAGGUUGCUUGCUUAUCUCCCACCCUCAGUAUCUCACCUCUCUUCAGGCUCCUGUCCCUACUUCAGUGAGAUAGCCCAAUUACUACUCAGUUAUCUUCUAGGUACUGCUCCGGCCCCAUAAACUGGAGUGGAGCUUAGACACUCACUGAAUCCUCACUACAGUUGUACCCUGCCCACUCCCCCAGUAAAGUCUACCUGUUUUAAGCAAGUGUUGUGAAGAUGUCUUUAAACAUGGAGUACCUAAACUUAAGUGGAUUAGU